UACGUAGGCGGAAAAUUAAGUCAGUGGUGAAAUCCUGCAGCUUAACUGUAGAACUGUCAUUGAUACUGGUUUUCUUGAAUAUAGUUGAGGUAGGCGGAAUGUGUAAUGUAGCGGUGAAAUGCUUAGAUAUUACACAGAACACCGAUUGCGAAGGCAGCUUACUAAGCUAUGAUUGACGCUGAGGUACGAAGGCGUGGGGAGCGAACAGGAUUAGAUACCCUGGUAGUCC
RNAcentral lists this ribosomal RNA (229 nucleotides) under uncultured bacterium. RNAcentral's name for it is "partial 16S ribosomal RNA". It matches the Rfam family "Bacterial small subunit ribosomal RNA", at positions 568 to 796 of the family's 1533-position model. The record is from RNAcentral.